GGAUGUGAGGGCGAUCUGGCUGCGACAUCUGUCACCUCAUUGAUCUCCAGAGUUAAUUCUGCCAAUCUGGCCGACUAGGCGGGUGUCCCUUUUCCUCCCUCACCGCUCCAUGUGCACGUGCAGCCCUCCUGCAAAUGCUGAAGUUGUCAAAGAGGACGACUACCCCAACAGAGGAGGCAAGUGGCUGUGCCCUCCUUUUAGAACCUCCAAACAGGUUCUCAAGGUCAAAUAGUCACUAUGUGGAUUCUAGCAAUAUAUUGUGGCCAUAGAAGAAGCCCUUGGAAUAUCUAUCUU
RNAcentral lists this small nuclear RNA (294 nucleotides) under Heterocephalus glaber (naked mole-rat). RNAcentral's name for it is "7SK RNA". It matches the Rfam family "7SK RNA". Rfam says of the family: 7SK was discovered as an abundant small nuclear RNA in the mid-70s but a possible function has only recently been suggested. Two independent studies have found that 7SK RNA binds the CDK9/cyclin T complex (known as elongation factor P-TEFb). The record is from Rfam by way of RNAcentral. Lineage: Eukaryota; Metazoa; Chordata; Mammalia; Rodentia; Bathyergidae.